RNAcentral lists this ribosomal RNA (456 nucleotides) under uncultured Actinomycetales bacterium. RNAcentral's name for it is "bacterial SSU rRNA". It matches the Rfam family "Bacterial small subunit ribosomal RNA", at positions 28 to 498 of the family's 1533-position model. The record is from RNAcentral. Lineage: Bacteria; Bacillati; Actinomycetota; Actinomycetes; Actinomycetales.
GACGAACGCUGGCGGCGUGCUUAACACAUGCAAGUCGAACGGAAAGGCCCUGCUUGCAGGGUACUCGAGUGGCGAACGGGUGAGUAACACGUGGGUGAUCUGCCCUGCACUUCGGGAUAAGCCUGGGAAACUGGGUCUAAUACCGGAUAGGAGCCAUUUUUAGUGUGAUGGUUGGAAAGUUUUUUCGGUGUAGGAUGAGCUCGCGGCCUAUCAGCUUGUUGGUGGGGUAAUGGCCUACCAAGGCGGCGACGGGUAGCCGGCCUGAGAGGGUGGACGGCCACAUUGGGACUGAGAUACGGCCCAGACUCCUACGGGAGGCAGCAGUGGGGAAUAUUGCACAAUGGGCGCAAGCCUGAUGCAGCGACGCCGCGUGGGGGAUGACGGCCUUCGGGUUGUAAACUCCUUUCGCUAGGGACGAAGCUUUUUGUGACGGUACCUAGAUGAGAAGCACCGGCU